Molecule: ribosomal RNA, 443 nt
Filed under: uncultured bacterium
Lineage: Bacteria
Description: partial 16S ribosomal RNA
Rfam family: Bacterial small subunit ribosomal RNA
Source: RNAcentral
CCUACGUGAGGCAGCAGUGGGGAAUAUUGGGCAAUGGGCGCAAGCCUGACCCAGCAACGCCGCGUGAAGGAAGAAGGCUCUCGGGUUGUAACCUUCUUUUAUCAGGGACGAAGCAAGUGACGGUACCUGAUGAAUAAGCCACGGCUAACUACGUGCCAGCAGCCGCGGUAAUACGUAGGUGGCAAGCGUUAUCCGGAGUUACUGGGUGUAAAGGGCGUGUAGGCGGGAAAGCAAGUCAGAUGUGAAAACCAUGGGCUCAAACUGUGGCCUGCAUUUGACACUGUUUUUCUUGAGUACUGGAGAGGCAGACGGAAUUCCUAGUGUAGCGGUGAAAUGCGUAGAUAUUAGGAGGAACACCAGUGGCGAAGGCGGUCUGCUGGACAGCAACUGACGCUGAGGCGCGAAAGCGUGGGGAGCAAACAGGAUUAGAUACCCGUGUAGUC